This 473-nucleotide long non-coding RNA is filed under the name Ficedula albicollis (Collared flycatcher). RNAcentral describes it as "lncRNA (ENSFALG00000023026.1)". Lineage: Eukaryota; Metazoa; Chordata; Aves; Passeriformes; Muscicapidae. The record is from RNAcentral.
AGAAGAUCAGUUUGACACUUUAUGUCUAAGUGGAUGCAAUCUCUUUGGAGAAAAGCAAGCAGCACCCAAUGAAAAUGCAAAAGAGAAGGCUAGUGUGGUAUAUCUUUUAAGGCUGUUAAGGCAAACUAGUUAACUCUUUUUUUUUUUUUUUUUUUUUUUUUUUUUCCAUAAGAAAUAUCUUUGGUGUCAUGCCAGGGGUACCAAUGGAGUCCCAGAGGAAUGAAUUUCAACCCUGCAGUCUCAAGAGUUGGGCCUCCAGCUGGCUGUAUACAGAUGUACUUAAUCUAAGUGUUGUCCUUACUGGAACAAACUCCCCUUGGAGUGAUUCCCAUCUUGUCUGUAGGGAGAACCCAAUGUCCAAGAAACCAGGAGCAAACGAAUGCAAGGCUGGUUUGCCACUUGGAGAGGCCAGACAAGAGAAAAUUGUUUACAAUACUGAAGUGCAACGAAGAGUUCAAGCAGAGUGGCCUUAA